UGCUGAAAAACAGCUUUAACGCAUUCCGC
Molecule: small RNA, 29 nt
Filed under: Bombyx mori (domestic silkworm)
Lineage: Eukaryota; Metazoa; Arthropoda; Insecta; Lepidoptera; Bombycidae
Description: ovarian small RNA-8622
Source: RNAcentral